GAGUGCGGUGCCAUGCUGGGAUGUGUCAUUGUAUCCCUUGGAGUUCAGUUCCGGACUGGGGCGCAAAAUGGAACAAGUUCUCAACGUAAAGCAUAAUAAGGAGACUUGCAGUAAUUAAGCGCAUUUUAUUUCAGUACCUGUACGAACUUACGAGAGAGAGAACACGAACCUCCCACUAAGUGUAUAAUUGGUUUGACCCAAGGUAAGAUGGCGGUCCGUAGGUUUCCCGCACUUCACCCAGCUGGCGAGUUCUACCAGUCGGCAAGCCGGCCCGCCUUAUUUGGAAAGAAGCAUGCGCGACCUUCAGAGCUGGAGAGCGAAGCGUUUUGGGAGUUGAAGUCUGCUGCUCAGGCCCCUCGUCUAGGGUUGGGGUUCCAGCAGCACGUUUUUUUCUGCUCAGACUUCGAGUUCCGGAACAAGUGAACGAAAGUUGGACCCCGGGAGUGGUGUGGCGCAGCAGUCGAGGAAGUGACGAAGAAAGGACAUGUGAGGACACACGAAGAAGGUGGCAAACCAGGAAGAGAAUUCUCACCAGAAACCAACCCUGCUGGCACCUUUAUCUUGGACUUUCAACCUCCAGAACUCUGGAGUUUGACAUGGUGGCAGAAUCUGGAGAGGCCAUCUUGGACCACACGAUGGAAGCCACAUGUGAAGGACGUCAGGGCAACAAAGUGGAAGGAGCCAGGGUCUCUGACACCAUGGGACUCCAUAUCAGCUGCACUUCUUACCCUCUACUGGGACAGGCGACAGCAGAAGCACCAGGAACUGGCACGGAUUUGACAAAGGGAAGAAAAGAAUGGCCUUGGGAGGGAGUGAGGUGAGGUGAAGUUGGAUCAGAAAGGAGACCCCUAGCAUCUCCUUGCUGCCUUUACUCAGGUAAUUAUUAAUAAUAUUGUUACAUGGCAAUAUUGUUACACUCUCGCCGCCAUGUUUUAUUCAGAACUGACUAUGUGUUAAGCUUUCCAUGUGUUAUCUCAUUUUGUUCCCCACCUGCAGAAACCCUAAGAAGUAGUUAUUACUUUUAUUUACAUUUUACAGAUGGGGAAACUGAGUCUCUGAGAAGGUAAGCUAGGAGUUAAAUCUAGUUCAUGUGGCUACAAAUUCCAUGUCUUUCCCACUCUGCUUCCUCUCUCUCAUGGUCCUUUGGGCAUGGUAUAUUGUCACGCUAGUCACUGAGCAUGGGGGAUGAGUAGGGAAGGAGGAGGGGCGGUAGGAAGAGGAGAAUCAUACAUGACUUAGACAAAAUUACUUAUGUACUAAAAUGUAUGUUCCAUCACAGUGGAGAUUCUCUCUGUAUCCCCAGACUUUUAAACAGUGCCUGGCACAUAGUGGACAAUAAAUAUUGGUUCUUGUUUGAAUUCUAUUGCAGAGAAAAUGGAUGACCAACUAGAAUAUAGAGCAUAUAGGCUCAUUUGUUCUAAGUAAUCCUAAGUAACACAAAUCCUAAGUAAUGAUAGCAUAAAGAAGAUAGAAUUUUAUUCCUCUCAGGUCUGGAUGUAAAUAAUCCAGGACUAGCUCGAUGGAGUUGGGGUCCCAGGCUUCUCCUGUCCUGUAGCUCUCCCAGCCCUAGGGUGUUGCCUGGCCCCUAUGGUCUCAGAUGGCUCCCCCAUGUCUACACCACAGCCAGCAGGCGGGGGUGGGGGUGGGGGUGGGGGGGUGGGGGUGGGGAAAGGCACCAUUUGCGUACCAUUGGUCAGAAUUUAGUCACAUGGCUAGAACUGGCUGCAAGGGGGAGGCUGGGAAAUAGAGUCUGUUUUGUGUGGCUAAGUGUCCGGCUAAAAGUCAGAGGUUUUACUUCUAUACGAGAAGGGGAGAACGGGUAUGAGGGGCAACCGGUGGUCUCUGUCACAAAUAAGGAGCCUAUGUGUGGGCACCAGUGUUCUUCAUGGUGUGAAGGCUCCAUAGGGACAUAUAUGGUCUCUCCCCCUGAUGGCAGGGGGCUACAUUUAAUCACCCUGAUAUCCCUGGCAGCUUCUAGCUCAGACGUAGGAAAAAGGAACUCUCAGACCUUGGAUAGAGUUUUGAUGAUAUGAUAGAAUCAGAACAAGUGGGUUAGAGGGCAUUUGCUUGGUGAUGAUCAAAAUGGAAAGGACUAAAGGUCAGGCUGGGCGUCUGGGAGGCGGCCAGCAACAGUGGAGGGACUCAGGAAGGUGACUUACAAGAGGGCUGGAUUGGGUGAAGGGUCAGAGAAGAGUCUGGGAAGGAGGAGGCAGUGUGGGGGGUGGAAGAGACAGCACAGUAAUCGCAGCUCUUCCUCAAUAAAAUGCUCAGCAGCCCACAGAGCAUCUUGGCCUCUGCUACCUCAUCAGUGAGGAUAGGUGGUGCCUGAAGUUGAACAGGGGUCGUGCGGUGUGUCUUGAAUGCCACCAGCUCAUCCCGUUCCUAUCAGAGAACCAGCACUGGUUUCCUCCCUCCCUCCCUCCUCUCCUUUCUUUCUUCCUCCCUCUCUCCCCUCCUUCUUUCUUCCUUCUUUCCUCCCUCCCUUCUUCCUUCCUUCCAUCUUUCCUUUCUUUCUCCUUCUGUUUAUUUAGUUUAUCCCAGAAAUUUGAAAGCAUUCCAUCUUGUACUAGGAACUUUACAGAGGUCUAUUCUAAACUGGGCAGCACAUAACACAUUCUCUCUCUUUCUCUCCAUAUAUAUAUAUAUAUGACAUAUACAUGUGUAUAUAUAUAUAUAUAUAUAUAUAUACACAAGCACCCAAGCAUACGUAUAUAUGUGUAUAUAAUCACCUACUGUGUGUCAGUGGUAGCCACCCUGCUAGUCUCUGCGGAACACAGUGGGAAGCAAGUCAGACAAAGUCCUUGCCCUCAUGGAGCUUAUGGUCAGGAAAUAAUAUACAAAUGAAUGCACAAAUAACUAUAAAUAUUAAAUUAUUAAAUCAGUGCUAUGAGAAGUACAAAAUGCUAUGAGAACAUAUUCACUGUUCACUCCAGCAUUCACUAUAUAAAUAUUUAACAAGAGAGAUUAUAUAUGUUAAAAGAUAAUUUUUGCAAUAGAAUAAAAUCAUUCUUCUUGUUCAAAUCUAAAAUGAACAUGUAUCAAAGUUUUUUUAAAUUAUUAAUUCAUAAGGGAAACAAUAAGUGUAAAAACUAAUUCAAAGGAGAAUCCAAAGCAUACAUAUGCUGAAAUUAAUUUGCUAAAGAUGCAAAACUAUUUUCUUCCUAGAGGGAUGGGAAAGGGAGUGGGCGGUGGGGGGACAGUUGUACCUCCAGCAGAUAAAACUUAUUUGCUUCUCUAUGACCAAGAAUUAUUUGUAUCACUAUCAGUCUUGUUACAGCUUACAGAGAUGUACAAUAGCUCAAAGAUAAGGAAAGGCAUCUACCACCACAGAAUCAGUUAACCUGAAAUGAGGUGAAGGCAAGGCGUAGCAUUCCACAGGACAACCUGUUGUGGGUUUUGUUUUGUUUUGUUUUGCUUUUUGCCAUUUCAAAGUCUUUUACAAUUUUCCUUGAUAUGAGUCAGACCUGUACUAGGUACUGGUAAUACAGAGGUAAACCAUACAGACAUAGUAUCUCCCUCAGGGAGAAUGUUAUAGUGUUCCCUUAUGUUCUAAUAGUGGGGCAGAGGGCUGGGGAACAGAUAAUUUUUGGAAGCCAAACUGGGUCUUCGCCAUUUUUGUCUAAUAGGUCAGAUUAUAAAAGCACUUUAUACCCUGAGAAAAACCAGGGCUCCUCUGUCUAGUUCUAAAUCCCCAAAUAAUCAAAGCCUUGAGGAUUUCCUGUGAAUUAACUGACUCCCUAACAAAAACAACUUUAUUUCUUACUUCUGCAAAACUAUGUCCAAAAAUAUGUGAUUACCUUUGCAGGUAUAAUAAUCAGGUGAGAACAUUGUUUUUUCUACCUUGGGCAAACUAAUCCUUGGUAAUUUUUUUCCCUUGAAAUAUCUGUUG
Molecule: long non-coding RNA, 3889 nt
Organism: Aethalodelphis obliquidens (Pacific white-sided dolphin)
Lineage: Eukaryota; Metazoa; Chordata; Mammalia; Artiodactyla; Delphinidae
Exons: 4
Source: RefSeq, a predicted model, not a curated record